This 595-nucleotide unclassified non-coding RNA is filed under the name Hevea brasiliensis (rubber tree). Lineage: Eukaryota; Viridiplantae; Streptophyta; Magnoliopsida; Malpighiales; Euphorbiaceae. The record is from RNAcentral.
GUUCAAACAAAUGCCUUGUGCAGUGGUAAAUCUGAAGCGAUAAUCUGCAACCGAUGGCUACACAGCUCCCUGGUUUGUUGCUGAACAGCGCUGGCCUUACACUCGCCGGCGCCCGGUCUCUUAGUUGCCGGAACAAUCAACCACCGGCAGCUAUCUCCUCUGCCAACCCUCCUUCUCUCUCUUCCACAAUUCAGGUUGUUGGUUGGAAAGGUGCUGGAGGAUCUGGCAGUGAGAAUUCAAAACUUUUUAAUUCUUUUGAAGACAAUCAAGAAGAAUAUGACUGGAAUGAUCUAGAAACCGAUCUUUACCAUUGGACAAAGACUUUACGACCAGUUCAGUGGUAUCCUGGUCAUAUCGCGAAAACUGAGAAAGAGCUCAAGGAACAGUUGAAACUAAUGGAUGUUGUCAUAGAGGUUCGAGAUGCAAGAAUCCCGAUGUCCACAAGUCAUCCACAGAUGGACUCAUGGCUUGGCAACAGAAAGAGGAUCUUGGUUUUGAAUCGAGAGGAUAUGAUAUCAACUGCUGAUCGGAAUGCUUGGGCAACUUAUUAUGCUAAUCAAGGGAUUAAAGUUGUUUUCUCCAAUGGCCAGCUUGG